CCUACGGGAGGCAGCAGUGGGGAAUAUUGCACAAUGGGCGCAAGCCUGAUGCAGCAACGCCGCGUGAGGGACGAAGGCCUUCGGGUUGUAAACCUCUUUUAGUAGGGAAGAAGCGACUGGGUUUUCCUGGGAGUGACGGUACCUGCAGAAAAAGCACCGGCUAACUACGUGCCAGCAGCCGCGGUAAUACGUAGGGUGCAAGCGUUGUCCGGAAUUAUUGGGCGUAAAGAGCUCGUAGGCGGUUUGUCGCGUCUGCUGUGAAAACCCGAGGCUCAACCUCGGGCCUGCAGUGGGUACGGGCAGACUAGAGUGCGGUAGGGGAGAUUGGAAUUCCUGGUGUAGCGGUGGAAUGCGCAGAUAUCAGGAGGAACACCAAUGGCGAAGGCAGAUCUCUGGGCCGUAACUGACGCUGAGGAGCGAAAGCAUGGGGAGCGAACAGGAUUAGAUACCCUGGUAGUCCAUGCCGUAAACGUUGGGAACUAGAUGUGGGGACCAUUCCACGGUCUCCGUGUCGCAGCUAACGCAUUAAGUUCCCCGCCUGGGGAGUACGGCCGCAAGGCUAAAACUCAAAGGAAUUGACGGGGGCCCGCACAAGCGGCGGAGCAUGCGGAUUAAUUCGAUGCAACGCGAAGAACCUUACCAAGGCUUGACAUAUACCGGAAACGGCUGGAAACAGUCGCCCCGCAAGGUCGGUAUACAGGUGGUGCAUGGUUGUCGUCAGCUCGUGUCGUGAGAUGUUGGGUUAAGUCCCGCAACGAGCGCAACCCUCGUCCUAUGUUGCCAGCACGUAAUGGUGGGAACUCAUGGGAUACUGCCGGGGUCAACUCGGAGGAAGGUGGGGAUGACGUCAAAUCAUCAUGCCCCUUAUGUCUUGGGCUUCACGCAUGCUACAAUGGCCGGUACAAAGGGCUGCGAUACCGCAAGGUGGAGCGAAUCCCAAAAAGCUGGUCUCAGUUCGGAUUGAGGUCUGCAACUCGACCUCAUGAAGUCGGAGUCGCUAGUAAUCGCAGAUCAGCAACG
RNAcentral lists this ribosomal RNA (1020 nucleotides) under uncultured Cryobacterium sp. Its description in RNAcentral is "bacterial SSU rRNA". It matches the Rfam family "Bacterial small subunit ribosomal RNA", at positions 338 to 1356 of the family's 1533-position model. The record is from RNAcentral. Lineage: Bacteria; Bacillati; Actinomycetota; Actinomycetes; Micrococcales; Microbacteriaceae.